GCCUGGGUGGUUCAGUUGGUUGGGCGUCUGACUUUGGCUCAGGUUAUGAUCUCGUGCAGUUUGUGGGUUCGAGCCCUGCCUUGGGCU
This 87-nucleotide transfer RNA is filed under the name Felis catus (domestic cat). It matches the Rfam family "tRNA". From Rfam's summary of the family: Transfer RNA (tRNA) molecules are approximately 80 nucleotides in length. The record is from Rfam by way of RNAcentral. Lineage: Eukaryota; Metazoa; Chordata; Mammalia; Carnivora; Felidae.